Halichondria panicea is the source of this 231-nucleotide long non-coding RNA. RefSeq lists it as uncharacterized. The transcript has 3 exons. The record is from RefSeq and is a predicted model, not a curated record. NCBI's taxonomy places the organism in Eukaryota, Metazoa, Porifera, Demospongiae, Suberitida, Halichondriidae.
ACUCAAUGAUAUUCAUAUCAGGCCAUCUAAAAUGCACUCCGUCUGGUGGUAUAGCCAUGUCUACCAAGCUGAAAAAUAAAGUUAUUGUACUGUUGUCAUGGGCACUUUUGCUGCAGCUAGAUUUAGAUCAUUUUGCUCUGGCUGCUGACAUCACAAAAGAGGAAGAUCUGCUGACAGUGUGUCCUGGAGAGUUGGUCUCUCUCACUUGUACUCAUGCUAAUGUUGCUCGUG